UGUUGCUUCAUAGAUGUUGAAUGAAUGAUGUCAUCAAUUCUUCCUCUUCCUCUCAAAGUCAGGACUUGGAUUGUGUUAGUGGCCUUUGGUUGUGCUGCUGCUGCUUUGCUCAUCACUGUCCUGCUUAAACAAAAACAUCACAACAGUCUGUCACACAGAGACCAUGAGAUGAGUGAGAUGCCUCAAACUACAGACAGAGACACUGAUAUGACCCAAACACCUCUCGUCAUACAGGAGAACAAUCAAGUCAGAAGACGGACACCUACUGGGAAUAAUCAAGAGUGAAAAUCCAUGGUCGUCAUCUUGAAUAGAGAGAAGACCUCAUCUUGACUGAUGUCAACUGUUUACUAAAAAGCAAGGACUGACACCAAUGUUGAACC
Long non-coding RNA from Seriola dumerili (greater amberjack), 380 nucleotides. RefSeq lists it as uncharacterized. The transcript has 3 exons. The record is from RefSeq and is a predicted model, not a curated record. Lineage: Eukaryota; Metazoa; Chordata; Actinopteri; Carangiformes; Carangidae.